Molecule: transfer RNA, 78 nt
Filed under: Treponema vincentii ATCC 35580
Lineage: Bacteria; Pseudomonadati; Spirochaetota; Spirochaetia; Treponematales; Treponemataceae
Description: tRNA-Phe
Rfam family: tRNA
About the family: Transfer RNA (tRNA) molecules are approximately 80 nucleotides in length. Their secondary structure includes four short double-helical elements and three loops (D, anti-codon, and T loops).
Source: RNAcentral
UGCCGUUGUAGCUCAGUCGGUAGAGCAAAGGACUGAAAAUCCUUGUGUCGACAGUUCGAUUCUGUCCGACGGCAUUUU